GGAACUUUUACCAUUAUCUUAGAAGUAGCAGUUGGUGGCCACUGGGGACCCAGGCCCUUUCUUUCGAGCCAAGAAUACAGUAUCAGUCUAGAAAAGAUCAAGUAAAAGAGGGGUUCUUAGGAAAAUUAAGUGGGGUUUGCAAGGUGGGUGACAAGAAGAGCCAUUUUUCUUUUUUUAUUCCUUGGCAUAUGGUAGGAAGAAAAUGAUGGGCUGAUAGGGAAGUCAUCCCGGCUCUUGCUUCCACUGACUCUGGCUGUUGGAGAAACGGGGCGAGUGUAUAGCUUCCAGACCAGGAGGCUUAGGGGAGUAGGUCAGAGGCUGCACUCCACAGUCACUGGGGCUCUGAUCUCAUCUCCCUCCCCUCCCCACUGCAGUGCACACAGGAAGAAGUAUCUUCAGAAGAUGAAGACGAGGAGAUGCCUGAGGUAGGCUUGCAACCUGAGGUGGUGUUGGCAGGAAGCUGUUGCCGUCAGCGGCACUCAUCACCCACCAUAAACAGAGCUCCAGUCUAGAACUAGGGAGAGAGAAACAAUGUACUGAUCAGGAGGAAUGACCAGUGUAGUAGAGGAAACAGGCACCAUAUCCCCCCUCUGAAGGCAAUCAGGUGCAAAUAAAUACUCAAGUUAAUUUCAGAUGGCGUUGGAGGCUGACAGACUGAGUUUGCAUCCUGGCUAUCCUAACUAGGGAGGUACACCUAAUCUCACCAAGCUAGAUGGGAUUAUAAUACAUGCUGCAUAUGGUUGUCUUAAGAUUAAGUAAAAUAUUGUAUAUAAAGUAUUUUGUGAGUACUAAGUAACUUACGUAAUAUAUUCUUUAAAAACAUAGAUGCUUUUGCAGAAUACAGAGUAACGAUUAAGAAUUUGAGUUUCAGAUCUAGAUAGAACUUGAUCUAAUGUUUAGCUCUGCCAAGAGUUCUAUGACUUUGGGCAUGAGAAUUAAUAUCUUACUAGACUUAAGCUUCCUCAUUUGUAAAAUGGAGACAGCGAUUGAAUAACGUUUAAUAAUGGUUGUGAGGAUGAAAUGAUCUGGUGUGUAAUAAACAUUAAGUAGAUGUUAGCUGGUACUGUAAUAAUCAGGAGGUUAGUAUGUUCUGCCAGGUAAGACACUGAUCACUUUGUUUCAGAGCAUUGGAUUAAUGUCCCAAGUUCUAUAAGUCUGUAAAGGUCUUAAGACUGACAGACAGCUGGUGACACAUGAAAUUUACUCUUCCCAGACGGUGGACAGCCCUGUGUACCACACCCUGAACACCUGACUGAAAGGCUAACUCCUGGCGUCCUCCCCCUGUGAAUAGUGAACUACUUGUUCACUUAGAAUAGGUUGAAUAAAGAGCUAAUUCUGUUCUUAACUUCGGCUGCCUUCCUCUCUGGACCCCCUUUCUCAUUUCCAUCUUGUUAGUAGGUGCCUCUGCAAACCUGACUCAAGCCCUACAUUUGUAGGGAGAGGAGGAGAUGAAAUCCCAGAUUCUCCUCUGGACCUGAGGCCCUGAGGAUCCUGGGUACAUCAGUUCACCUGAUGAAACAUGAGCUUUCAGUGACAGUGUCGGGCCAAAGUCAUUCUGAUAGGAAUUGGGAAAGAGAAGGGGGGUUUUAGGGGCAGGUCAAGCAGGGUUGUCCUGGGGAGCAAAAGGCCAAGUCUUCGUAGGUCCUUACCUUAGCUCUGUGGCUGUAGAACUGGAGAAGAGAAGUGCCUGUCCUUCACAGGGUGGAGGGAUAGGGUUGGGAAGUGUUCUGGAAGCGAGGGGGGGUGUUGAGUGGUGGGACUGCUAGAUGACUGCUUCUCCUGGAGCUCCAGGCCAGGUGGGACUAGGAAGGUGACGGUCCUCAUUCACAGCCUUCUCCCUUUCCCCUCUGUUCCCCUCCCUCCCGCUCUGCCCAGGACACGGAAGACCUAGAUCACUAUGAAAUGAAAGAGGAAGAGCCAGCUGAGGGCAAGAAAUCCGAAGACGAUGGCAUCGGAAAAGAAAACCUGGCCAUCCUAGAGAAGAUCAAAAAGAACCAGAGGCAAGAUUACUUAAAUGUACGUGCCUCGUAGGGAGUGGCGGGGCACGAGGGAGGUGGGCACUACCUGGGGAGUGGUAGGCCGCAGCUCACAGCAUAGGGAGCUGCUCGCAUCUAAUCGUCCUCCAGACCCUGGGCAAGCAGUGGAGGUGUAACGUGUGUUUCCAGACUGGGACCAGAGAAUGUUCUGUUGUUUCUCCCUCACAGGGUGCAGUGUCUGGCUCGGUGCAGGCCACUGACCGGCUGAUGAAGGAGCUCAGGGAUAUAUACCGAUCACAGAGUUUCAAAGGCGGUGAGUUAGCUCCAGAGAGGGGCUUGCACGGGAGUUUCUCCUCGGGGUGGAUAUGGGAUAUGAUAUGAUAUGGUGCAGAAAGCCCCAGGGUUCGGGGUACAUGAGUAUUGACAAACUUGCGGUCAGGAACGGAGCACCUUAAAGCCAGUGGCUUGGCUUGGGUGUGCAUUCAUCUAGAGCAGACCUGGACCUUUGAUCUUUUUCCCUCGGUUUGUGAGAGGGAGCAGUCUGAGGGACCCCUCCCCGUCUGUACUGUCCUACUGACACUUCCCUUCCCCUUUUCUAGGAAACUAUGCAGUUGAACUCGUGAAUGACAGUCUAUACGAUUGGAAUGUCAAACUCCUCAAGUGAGUGGGGACUGGGGAGUCGGGAGCGGGGUGGGUGGAACACCUGGUGAUGUCUGGGCAGUCUCACUAGCAUGUUGGUUGCAGGGUCCCCAGAAGUGGGUGUGGGCAGUGGUAUGUGUAUCUGGGGCCGGCCGGGGCGCAGGGGAGGAGGGGGUUGGUGGGGAGCCCUUGUGAGGCUCUGCACUGGGACAAGGGUUUGAGCCCAGACUUGUUUCACAGAGUUGACCAGGACAGCGCUUUGCACAAUGAUCUCCAAAUCCUCAAAGAGAAGGAAGGAGCUGAUUUCAUCCUACUUAAUUUCUCCUUUAAGGUAAGCCUUCCCCCAGCUCUCCCUCCCUGGCCUGAGUUCCCUGUCUGCCUAAGUCUUGUGAGGAUGCCGGUCUCCUUCCCUGAAUGCUGCCUCUGUCUUUCUCAGGAUAACUUUCCCUUUGACCCACCGUUCGUCAGGGUUGUGUCUCCAGUCCUCUCUGGAGGGUGAGUGGCUGGGUCAGGGAGAGGGUGAAGCAGGGACUGGAAGCUCUUGCCAGGCCUGACUGACCGACCUUUCUCAUGCAGGUAUGUUCUGGGCGGAGGUGCCAUCUGCAUGGAACUUCUCACCAAGCAGGUGAGGCCCUUUCACUGUUGGCCCAAGAGCCUGGGUGGGGCCCGACAGCUGAGCUUCCUCCCCAUCCCAGCCUGGGCACAGGCGUCUGUGGCCCUGUUACCCUGCCACGUAGUGGCUGUCCUGGGAGGGAAGGGCACGGGCACUUCCAUAGAGAGGCACUGCCGCCUGGAGAAGAAGUGGAAGGUGUCUCCAGGAGCCCUGUCCUGACUCGCUCGCUUUGUCCCUGCUGUCCCCAGGGCUGGAGCAGUGCCUACUCCAUAGAGUCAGUGAUCAUGCAGAUCAGUGCCACACUGGUGAAGGGGAAAGCGCGAGUGCAGUUUGGAGCCAACAAAGUAAGGGGCCUGGCCUGGCGGGCUGGCUGGAGCCGAGUGCGUCGUGGCCCAGGCUGAGGGCAAAGGGGACACAGUCCCUGGGCUGCGAUGUUGGAGGAGAGGGCCUGGGGUGGCCACAGUGGGAACAGAGCAGGGCCUUAGCUGAGGGGUGUCCUCAGGGUUUGGGGGUUCAGGUCAGGAAAGGGAAGGCUGUGGGAUUGUGUCCCCAAGGGACCUCUCAGACAGAGGUCCUUAGCGUGCUACCAGGGUACCGCGCUGGCAGCCGGGCUUCCUGGGUCUCUGGGUGGCCGCCUGUGGAAGGGGAGGGGCAGUGAGCCACAGCUGGCGUGGCCUGACCGGUGGCUUCUCCCCCCAGUCUCAGUACAGUCUGACGAGAGCACAGCAGUCCUACAAGUCCUUGGUGCAGAUCCACGAAAAGAACGGUGAGGCCGGAGCCGGGCCCGGGGCUCUGGUGCUGGGCAACCCCAGGUUCUCACUCGGCCCGUAGCAAGGUCCCUCUGGGUUUCCGAGCCGUUCACCCACUCACCCACACCUGCCGGCUCUCCAGAGAAGGCCUGGAGGUGGUGUCGUGGGCAGUCUUGGUGCUGCCCUCUUCCUGACCACCCUUUGAAAGACUCUUCACCACCUCGGGUUGGGCUCUUCACUCUCCCUGUCCUUACAACCUCCAGGUAGGCAGCCUCCGCUUCCCUGUACCUCUCUUCUCGCACCUGGCAGCCUCCCUAGGACCUUCUUGCCUGGAGACGCUGCAGAUGUCCACGGUGACUGGGACAGGGAGGGCGCUCUGGGCCUGGACCUCGCUGACCUGGUGUGUUUCUUUGCAGGCUGGUACACACCCCCAAAGGAAGACGGCUAACCCUGGAGCGUCGCCCCUCCUCCUCCCCCAGGCACCACUGGACCAAUACCUUUGAAUGCUGUAUCUGGAUCUCACGCUGCCUCUGUGGUUCCCUCCCUCAUUUUUCCUGGACGUGAUAGCUCUGCCUAUUGCAGGACAAUGAUGGCUAUUCUAAACGCUAAGGAAAAAAAACAAAAAAACAAACAGAACUGUUUCAAGUACUCAAGACUGACUACAGACCAACAACCACCUUGCUGGAACCCUUGCUAGCAGGCAUUCUUAUAAAGAAACUCUCGAGCCUCCUUAUAUUGCUGGAAACUCAGCUGUGCUCCAGACUAGAGCCUCCUUACCUAUGCUAUGGAUUUUUAAUUUAUUUUCUCUUAUUUCAUGUACACUGCUUUUUUUGGUUACAGUGUAUGAUGGAUGUGUAUGAAAAAAAAAUGUAUCUUUGGGAAAACAAUUACAGUUUGUUAAUUUGAAGAUGCUGGUCUUGACUCAUCUUUAUUUUUAUUCCCACAUCCCACCCCACCCCCAUCCCCUGACUGCUUGGGAGGUGGGGGAGGGGUGCCAGGUCCACUGUGCUUUGGUAGCCAUGAGGCUGUGCUCCGCUAACCCAAGAAAUCUGGAGCUAAGCACCACCUGGCCCACCCCUAGGUUUCCCAAAGGCCCCUGCUGACUUACAGUGUAGCAGGCUGGUAUGAUGAACUUGAUUCUUAGGACUGCGUUUCACUUCUAGUUUCAGAGACUUUUCAAAUUUCUAAGAAAUAGAAAAUGUGGAGGCUCAAGAGGCUGCUUCAUAGAAAUCCUUUUAUGAGAACUGAGUGGGGCUGGGGCGCAGGCUCCUGCGUGUGUACGUGGUCUUUUCUAAUCACAGCCAUCCGCUGUCUAGCUACAACUCUGCAGUGUGCUUUGGCUCCUCUCCCUCCCAGAAAGUGGCUUCUGACUGGCCCUGGAUUGUGAUCAGUGGUAAGCUCUGCUCACCUUCCUCCUGUCUCCUGCUUCAUUUGGGGGUGUAGAAGAGAAAUGGCUCUUGAAGUAAGUUUGGCUGACUUGGAGAAUUGUGGACCCCUUCAAGUCAUUCUUGUAAGAUGCUGGUCCUACUAGAAACGGUUAGCUCUGAGGUGGGUUGUUGCAUGACCUGUGUCCUUACCCCAGGCGUGAGGAACUGCUGGGCCAGGAGGAAAGUGGGAGGAGUCUGUGGGGCUGGAGCAGGUGGUGCUGUGUUGUAUGUACUGCUGUUGUAAAAGUUUGGACAUGACUUUGCAUAUGGCGGGUGCUGCCUGUGUCUCCCUGUCAGGAAGCUUGCUUUGGGGCAGAGGCAGCUUUUGGGGGCUGACUGUGCCCACAGAGUGGGUAAAGAUUGAAAACAACAGAGGCCAGAAACAGCUAAGACAGACCCAAGUCUUAGGAAACCCAGAUCUGGGACGGCUGCCUGGGAACCUGUAGGAGGCCCGAGGAGCCCUGUGAUGCUUUAAGACACAGCAAUUUUAACUUGGCCAUUCUCCCCUCCCCCACCCCAUCCCGAGGGAUUCUAAUGUCUUGCUGCUUUAGGUGGAUGGAGAGUUCACCAAUCCCAUUCAAUGCUGCUCCAACUCUGCCCACACCCACCUGAUUAGGGGUGCUAAUACAUGCCGAGGUUGAGAUAAAGAGGGGACCUAAGGGGAAAAUUCAUUCCAUAGAGCUGAAAUCUGGUUUUCAAGGCCUCCGUGGCUUUCUUCUGAAUUUAUUACCAGCCCUGGCUGGAAUGUAGAUUGUGUUUUUAGUAAUGUGUACUGUGAGCUGUCCUCUGUAUAAUGUAUUUUGUAAUGUAUUUUUCUCAUCUACCAAAGGAUGAAACAAAUAAAAUUAUUUAAAUAGUUUGGCUCUAA
Molecule: long non-coding RNA, 6272 nt
Filed under: Marmota monax (woodchuck)
Lineage: Eukaryota; Metazoa; Chordata; Mammalia; Rodentia; Sciuridae
Source: RNAcentral